Podarcis lilfordi (Lilford's wall lizard) is the source of this 70-nucleotide non-coding RNA. NCBI's taxonomy places the organism in Eukaryota, Metazoa, Chordata, Lepidosauria, Squamata, Lacertidae. The record is from the annotation of a GenBank genome assembly.
GAGUAGCUCAGUCGGUUAGAGCAUAGUGCUGAUUACACCAAGGCUGUAGGUUCGAUCCCUGUUUGGGACA